UCGAGGAUCUUCGGCAAUGGGCGCAAGCCUGACCGAGCGACGCCGCGUGUGCGAUGAAGGCCUUCGGGUUGUAAAGCACUGUCGAGGGGGAUGAAGCCGCAAGGUUGACAUAUCCCUGGAGGAAGCACGGGCUAAGUUCGUGCCAGCAGCCGCGGUAAGACGAACCGUGCUAACGUUAUUCGGAAUCACUGGGCUUAAAGGGCGCGUAGGCGGGUGACCAAGUCAGGGGUGAAAUCUUUCGGCUUAACCGGAAAACAGCUUCUGAUACUGGUCGUCUGGAGUGAGGUAGGGGCAUGCGGAACUUCCGGUGGAGCGGUGAAAUGCGUAGAUAUCGGAAGGAACACCGGUGGCGAAGGCGGCGUGCUGGACCUCAACUGACGCUGAGGCGCGAAAGCCAGGGGAGCAAACGGGAUUAGAUACCCCCGUAGUCC
Molecule: ribosomal RNA, 431 nt
Filed under: uncultured bacterium
Lineage: Bacteria
Description: bacterial SSU rRNA
Rfam family: Bacterial small subunit ribosomal RNA
Source: RNAcentral